Molecule: ribosomal RNA, 401 nt
Filed under: uncultured Endozoicomonas sp.
Lineage: Bacteria; Pseudomonadati; Pseudomonadota; Gammaproteobacteria; Oceanospirillales; Endozoicomonadaceae
Description: bacterial SSU rRNA
Rfam family: Bacterial small subunit ribosomal RNA
Source: RNAcentral
GAAGUUUGAUCGUGGCUCAGAUUGAACGCUGGCGGCAGGCCUAACACAUGCAAGUCGAGCGGUAACAGAACUAGCUUGCUAGUUGCUGACGAGCGGCGGACGGGUGCGUAACACGUAGGAAUCUGCCCGGUAGUGGGGGAUAGCCCGGAGAAAUCCGGAUUAAUACCGCAUACGCCCUAAGGGGGGAAAGAUGGCCUCUUCUUGAAAGCUAAUCACUAUCGGAUGAGCCUGCGUCGGAUUAGCUAGUUGGUGAGGUAAAGGCUCACCAAGGCGACGAUCCGUAGCUGGUCUGAGAGGAUGAUCAGCCACACUGGGACUGAGACACGGCCCAGACUCCUACGGGAGGCAGCAGUGGGGAAUAUUGCACAAUGGGCGCAAGCCUGAUGCAGCCAUGCCGCGUG